AUGGAAGAGGUAUCUGGUGGAGACGGGGGCUCGACGGCGGUCGCUCCUGAAGCCUUCAGAGUGCGUCCCUCCCACAGCUUCCAGGUGCAGAUGAAGCUGGAGCCGGUGGAUAAAAGAUGUCCGGGCCUGAUCCGCGUGGCUACGGUGCUGGAGGUCGACACUUACGGAAUCAAGAGGAGAAAACAACUUCAGCUGACAGCUGUGCCAGUUUAAUCCAACAAAAAUAAAAAUCGAUACAGUAUAUUAAACACAUUCCUUAAUGGCUCAUAAAAGUCCAGUAGAAGUUACUGUUAGGAUGUGAUUUAUUCCUGUGAGGCACAGCUGUAUUUUUCAGCUUCAUUCCUCCAGUCUUCAGUGUCACAUGGUCUUCAGAAAUCAUUCAGAUCUGAUGAUUUACUGAUGAUUUACAACAUUUCUGAUUAUUAUCAAUGUUGAACACAGUUGUGAUGCUUCAUAUUUUUGUGGAAACAUUAUAAAAGCUACAUUUUAAUAGCUUUUGCAACGUUAUAGAUGUCAUUAUUGUUUCUGUGUUCUAGCUGAGUAAAAUAAUUAAUUUAUUUCCAAAAAAAGCUAAUGUAUUGAAAAAAAAAAAAAUAAUAAUAACUUAAUAGCAGUUAAAGUACAAAUAUUUAGUUAAAGUUAAAAUAUUAAACACCCCUUUGAGAAGCAGAAAAAUUACAGAAAUGGUUUUCAGAGAAUACAUAUUAAACUUAUUUCUCUUACACCAAUGCCUAAAUGAUCUAUAUCAAUUUCUCAUUUGUAUAUUAUUCUUAAAAAAAAGACAAAAUGAUAGAUAAAAAACAUAUAUAUAUAUAUAUAUAUAUAUAUAUAUAUAGAAAACAUAUAUAUAUAUAUAUAUAUAUAUAUAUAUAUAUAUAUAUAUAUAUAUAUAUAUAUAUAUAUAAAUAUAUAAAUAUAUUAGAUUAAGAUCAGUUAUAUCGGACUCUAACAUGCUCAUGUAGCUAAUGCUGUGUCAGCUCAGAGUCCCCUGUGUGGUUUAGGUCCCCGGGAGAGAGCCUGACGACCCAGCAGCCCAGCUUCUCCUCCGUGCCUCAGCCCCUCCGAAUACAGCUUCCACCACAGGUCAGACUUCAGCGUCUCUAUAAUGCAUUAGUUCAGAACGUUUAAUACACUGCUGUAAAAAUAAUCAAGCUGUCAGAAAACAGAACAGACGGGUUUCUGUCACUCAGAAAGUGCCCUACUCCGGGAUGUGUCGGGGAAGGUCAUGUGACCGGCCGCUUCACUGCACAUCAUCACUGUUUAUCUGGCUGCCCAUUGGCUGAGAGGAACCAGGGCCGGUUUAAAGCGGAUCUCUCUGAAACAGAAGGAUCCAGACGUAACCAGCUGGUCUUCGGCCGGAGAGCGAAGAAAUUUCAAUACCAAGGCAGGUACAACAACAUUCACAUGGUGUUAAUCAAGUGUAACUGUGUAUUUGUACAUUAAGGAUUUUUGUAUAUUAAAGAGAUUUAUAAGUCCACUGUGCUUGCUGUCACCAGGAUUGGUCGCUCCCCUAAAUAUCACAAAAGUCAGCAAAGACAUUGUGAGUUUGACUUUACAACAUUUUCAAUAAAAUUGUCAAUAAAAUUCCAGUAAAACAAAUAAAUCAAUGCAUUUUAGAGUAAAAGAUAACAUCCUCUCAUAGGGGAAAACACACACAGGCCAUUCAUUAUUUGCACAUGGACUAUAUUAUUAUAUAUAACGUAAUCACUUAUGUUUCGAACACUUUUAUUUUGAAUCGAAUAAUGCAGUAUGAAUACAGCUUCACAGGUCUGAAUGUAUGGGUUAUAACAUAAUCUACAGACACAGCAAACAAACAGCAGUCAGUAUGAGGUUAAUGUAAUAUCUCUGCUUUAUCUGCAGGUCUUUGGAUUCGUCAAUUGUCUUGUUGGCUGUGAUGGGCAGUCCCGAGUUUUCAAAGAUGAAGUAAGUAAUAAUAAUAAUAAUUCCUUACAUUUAUAUAGCGCUUUUCUAGACACUCAAAACGCUUAAGUAAUUAGCUUCACUAAAUUUCUCUAUAUAAUGGUACUUGUUGAAGAAAGUAUCAUUAGUAUUAUUGUGUAAAAUAGGGAUUUAACUGAGUUGUAAUAAAGCUUUAACCCACAGUUUGAGUUCUGUAUAUGAAGACGCAAUCACAUUUAACUUUGUGCAGUAAAUGUCUGGGGAUGAAAUGCAAGCAUCUCAACAGAAAGCUCAGGUGCUUAUAUAUAUAUAUAUAUAUAUAUAUAUAUAUAUAUAUAUAUAUAUAUAUAUAUAUAUAUAUAUAUAUAUAUAUAU
Molecule: long non-coding RNA, 2274 nt
Organism: Carassius auratus (goldfish)
Lineage: Eukaryota; Metazoa; Chordata; Actinopteri; Cypriniformes; Cyprinidae
Source: Ensembl